Molecule: ribosomal RNA, 235 nt
Filed under: Pseudomonadota bacterium
Lineage: Bacteria; Pseudomonadati; Pseudomonadota
Description: Proteobacteria bacterium (freshwater metagenome) partial 16S ribosomal RNA
Rfam family: Bacterial small subunit ribosomal RNA
Source: RNAcentral
GGAGAGUUUGAUCCUGGCUCAGGACGAACGCUGGCGGCGUGCUUAACACAUGCAAGUGGCGCGACGAACCAGGCUUCGGCCUGGGGCAGAGCCGCGAACGGGUGAGUAACACGUGGGCAACCUGCCCCGUUGAUCGGGACAACCCGGGGAAACCCGGGCUAAUACCGAAUGUGGUGCCGGCUCAUGAGAGCCGUCACGAAAGGAAGCUUCGGCCUCCGCGUCGGGAUGGGCCAGC